UUAAAUAUUGUUCUUGUCUUUCAACCAUUAAUAUCGCUCCACAUUAAAGAAAGAAUCUCUUUCUCUCUCAUAGCCUCUAUCUCAAUGGAGCAGCAGUUCGGUGACCAUUAAUGGAAUUGUUGUGGUCAACUGACAGAGAGUAGCUGUAGCUUCUCCCUUCCUUAUCUCUUCUUAUUACUCCGUACCCAUUUCAAGAUUUCCCUCAUUAAUACUGUUUCUUCUUUCCAAAUACCGAAAACAGCUUGAUUAUAGUAGUAGUGAAAACCACAAACAGCACUUUUAUUUCACGUAAAAUCCAAGAACCAUGGCUACUGCAUGCACUGGUUCUAAAACCACGCGUCUUCUCUCUGCUCAAGAUAGCACUGACUUCACUCUUUCCAUAAAUGCCCACAACAAAACUUCUGCCAUUCAACCUCUGCUCAAGAAUAUGAUUCUUAGCAGUAAUAGCAGAACCAAUAAGUGAAAAAGUCAAACCUUUUCUGCUAUCCUA
RNAcentral lists this long non-coding RNA (490 nucleotides) under Nicotiana benthamiana. RNAcentral describes it as "long non-coding RNA (NBEN_LNC030025)". The record is from RNAcentral. Lineage: Eukaryota; Viridiplantae; Streptophyta; Magnoliopsida; Solanales; Solanaceae.